CAUGGUGGACUCCAAGGCCCUCCAGACGCCCUUGCUCUCCAGCCAGUGGUAUCUGGGCUCACGGUGGCGAGGGGAGGGGAGGAGCGUGGGGUUGGGGCAGGAGACGCUCUCUUUGGCGUGGAACCUAUGACUCUGAGCCGGGGUCAAGGUGAACUGCUUCCCGGAACAGUCCAAGCCUGGGGAGUCAAGCAUUACUUUCAAACCGAACAAAGGCCGGAGCCGGGGGGGAGGCGGGGGAACGGCCCGGCUGUACUGAAGCGCUUCGGAGGCGGAGGUGCAGCCCAAGAGGCUGAGGCGGCAACGGAGCGCGCUGCUGCGUUUGUGCGCAAGUGACACUCCUGUGCCACACACAAAAGGCCUUCUUCUCCCCACCUUCUGCUGCUUUUCAGCCCUCGGGCCCCUGCCAAACCGGCUCAUAGGACGCCCGGGGGCUCCUGGCCCCCUAUCCAGGGCAACUCAGCCUUUGGGACAUCCAUCGCUGCCAAGGCAAACCUCUCCAAACUUUCCCCAAACUCGGACGGCUGGGGAGGGACCCUGGCUGGAGGCGCGCAUGCGCCCCGUCUGCUGCUGCCAGUUCCCAGGGUUCCGGAGAGCCGGGGUGGAGUUGGAGGUGUAGCCCUAGAGGCCUGCCUAACCCCUACUAUACCAAAAGUCGGGGUUCGGGUGCGGUCUGUCCGCCCAGGAGGCAGGAAGCAGCUGCCCGGCACCAGCUCUCCACCAUUUUUCUACCUUUGCGCAUGGAAAUCUCCAAAAAGGGAUCCAAGAAGCGGCGAGUUGAAUUGGGGGUCAUCGGCCUGGAAGAAGCCGGGAAUCGGAGCCCAAGACUUCUUCUAAGGAGGCCCCAGGUCCCUGCGCCCCACUGACCUGGCAGGGAGCCUCGGGCAUUCCUGCUGCUUCAGGUCGGAUGGCCAGGAACGCAGGUUGUUGGCGGGCUGGUUUUGCCUGGUGGCCUGAGCGCCCGCAUUAGCGGCCACAGUGGUCGGGGCACAACCUUCUUGCUGGUCCCAUUUUCGGGCUCUUUGGGGUCUACUGUUGCUUCCCAGAGAGGUUUGGCCUCUGAAUGAUCCUCUCAAAUUAAUGUCAGCAGGUUUCCUGGUGUGUCCACAUCUGUUCCAAACAACCUGUUGCGCUGGCAUUGCGUUGGAAAGGCACUGGCACUUUACUUGAGGGAAGCAGGUUGUGUUGCUUGUCCGGGCUUCCAGGACAGGAUUUAAGGUUCUCUCUUAAUGAGAGGCACCCCUCUCCUCCUCCAGUGAUACCUGGCGUGCUUCAUUCACCCUGUCCUUGUCCCAACAAUUCAAGGCACCUGGGCACCCUUGUACCUUGCCUCCUCUAGGGUCUCCUCAUGUAAUUCUUUGUAUGUUAGGUAGCAAGAUUAGACAAAGAUCCGGAUUAGAGGGAUACCACAACUAAUUCACCCUUUCACUCCCCCAGCUCGCUUCCCUCAACCCUCUGCAACCAGAUAGAAACCUUUGGUGUAUAAGCUCUGAGAAAAGAAAGCUAGCUCUUUAUGAGCUCCUGUCCUAGAAAGACCGACGCUUGGGGGGAAUUCUCUCUCCCAAAGAUUUUUAAAAAUGGUGUCUAUUUUGCAGCUUCCCUCCAGUCACUGUCCAGGCUUCCAUUUCAUGGUCAUCUCGCCAAGAGCUAGUCAUCUACAGCUGGAAUAUGAGAAAAAGCUUUUGAAAACUGACUGGGUUGAUAAAUUUGCCUAGGAGAGGUUUCUAGGAGUUUAUUAUGAAAUCCAGUUGAACGAGCUUUGACAUUAAAAAAAAAAACUGGGCAUGCUUGCACUGGAUGAAUUCAGAAAAAAUUCAUGUCCCACUAACUGAUCUGAAACAAGAAUAGAAAAUUUUAAAAUGAGCCACUUCCAAAUGAAGGGCGCUUGGCUGCAACCUCACAAAGACCACAAGUGCAUACAAUUAAAUAUUAGGGCUCAGCAAUGAGCAUUUGUGGCAAUAGCAAAUGUGUGACUCCUCGCAGCAAUUACUUGCAAGUUUUUCCGUACUUUUGAGAACAUACUUGACGCCUCAUUUCUUUGAUGACUGCUCAAUAGACACCCUGACACAGUAGUGGAGCUGCCCCUGCCCCAGCUCCCCUCUAGCUCACAGGGCUUUCAUCCAGGGCUUGAAUUGUGUUGUCAAAGUUUAGUAGACAGAGGAGGGGGCAUGAGAACGGGAGGGUGUCUUGAAAAGUUCUGGAAAUCGGUAUAUUUUGCAGGUGUAGAAUGUGCCUAAUAGCCAUGGCUUGUGCGUGCUCCCCGAUGGUGAAGGUCUGACAAGGACAGCUGGCUAGUUUUCAGUGUGAAAACACCCCCUCCGUGGACCAAACACAACGACACUGACCUUUCUGCAGGGGAACCAGAGAUGUGCCUUUGACUGAAUUAGCCACAAAGACGUCUUGCUAUGACUUUUGUUCACCACGAAAGCAAAGAAAUAUUGUGUCUAAUAUGAAAAAUACUGUUCACAGCUUUUCUGUGCCCCUAAAGAAGUAUUACAGUGCUGAUUUACUGGCCCCGUUCUCUAGAAAUGGCUGGACACAAGGCGGGGUGGAGGGGUGGGAUGUGGGAAUGGGACAAGGAGGAGGAGUUGGUAAGUUAAAUUGCCUGCUGCUGUUUCCAAGUUCUCUCUGUGCAGCAGCAAAUUUAUCAAUCUUUUCACCUGACAAUACUUUGAAAUAUAUCAUUGUCAUCCCAAGUUGUUUGAUAGAUUAACUGUAGGAACACAGCCUUUUCCAAGGUCAAGUUGAAGAUUCUUGUUUGCUGUUUAACUAAGUUGUUUAAAAACUCAGAACAAUGCCUGCCUGUUAAAUUUCCACUUGUUCUCAUGGGAUAUUGGAAAGCAAAGUUUCCUGUUGACUGAGUGUGUGGACACGUCAUCUUUUUGAGUUAAAUUCAGCAAACGGGAUUAGCAAUGAGAUCAACCCCUUGCAGACACAGAGGAAAUUAAAGCCCUCUCUUAUCCUUUCAAUCUGUGUACUAAUGUUUAUGUGUGUCAGGGGCUGGUUACAGCCACACAUAUCACGUUCAGCUUUCUAAUUUUACCCCAGUGGGAAGGUACAAAUGUGCUCUUCUAAAGCAGGAAGGCACAGAAAUUGUGGCCACUCCUGUGGGGUUUUGUUGAUUGUUUAACAGAGCAUAACCUGUUGCCUUAAAGCUUCAGUAAAAAUAAAGCCAAUUCAAAACCAC
Long non-coding RNA from Mus musculus (house mouse), 3184 nucleotides. RefSeq annotates it as RIKEN cDNA 1810010K12 gene. Lineage: Eukaryota; Metazoa; Chordata; Mammalia; Rodentia; Muridae. The transcript has 2 exons. The record is from RefSeq and is a predicted model, not a curated record.